RNAcentral lists this ribosomal RNA (253 nucleotides) under uncultured bacterium. RNAcentral's name for it is "partial 16S ribosomal RNA". It matches the Rfam family "Bacterial small subunit ribosomal RNA", at positions 524 to 776 of the family's 1533-position model. The record is from RNAcentral.
UACGUAGGGGGCUAGCGUUGUCCGGAUUUAUUGGGCGUAAAGAGCGUGUAGGCGGCCAGGUAGGUCUGGUGUGAAAACUCGAGGCUUAACCUCGAGAUGUCAUCGGAAACCAUCUGGCUAGAGUCCGGAAGAGGAGAGUGGAAUUCCUGGUGUAGCGGUGAAAUGCGCAGAUAUCGGGAAGAACACCCGUGGCGAAGGCGGCUCUCUGGGACGGUACUGACGCUGAGACGCGAAAGCGUGGGGAGCGAACAGG